UUCUGAAUAACAAUGCAAACAUAAAACACACAACAAUGGUAAAACACUUCUCUCUUAGCUUACGACUGUUAUCGCGCUUGGUGCGAGGCUGAUGUAUAGUUGGAGAAAAGUACUAUCCACACUUGCCCGCACUUAAAUGCGGGUUUUUUUUUACCUGUG
Molecule: non-coding RNA, 159 nt
Filed under: Bibersteinia trehalosi USDA-ARS-USMARC-192
Lineage: Bacteria; Pseudomonadati; Pseudomonadota; Gammaproteobacteria; Pasteurellales; Pasteurellaceae
Description: Actinobacillus sRNA 14
Rfam family: Actinobacillus sRNA 14
About the family: Arrc stands for Actinobacillus pleuropneumoniae Regulatory RNA Candidate. May control the expression of ferric permease (gene afuB2) and ferredoxin (fdx). TargetRNA2 was used for the predictions.
Source: Rfam by way of RNAcentral